This 253-nucleotide ribosomal RNA is filed under the name uncultured bacterium. RNAcentral's name for it is "partial 16S ribosomal RNA". It matches the Rfam family "Bacterial small subunit ribosomal RNA", at positions 524 to 776 of the family's 1533-position model. The record is from RNAcentral.
UACGGGGGGGGCAAGCGUUGUUCGGAUUUACUGGGCGUAAAGGGCGCGUAGGCGGCCCGCUAAGUCGGACGUGAAAUCCCUCGGCUUAACCGGGGAACUGCGUCUGAUACUGGAUGGCUUGAGGUUGGGAGAGGGAUGCGGAAUUCCAGGUGUAGCGGUGAAAUGCGUAGAUAUCUGGAGGAACACCGGUGGCGAAGGCGACAUCCUGGACCGAUCCUGACGCUGAGGAGCGAAAGCCAGGGGAGCAAACGGG